This 1020-nucleotide long non-coding RNA is filed under the name Zea mays. RNAcentral's name for it is "long non-coding RNA (ZMAY_LNC000226)". The record is from RNAcentral. Lineage: Eukaryota; Viridiplantae; Streptophyta; Magnoliopsida; Poales; Poaceae.
ACACAUGAGGCUUCUUCUUCGUAGGCUUUAGAGACUACGACAACAGCUCCAAGAAAGAUGACUCCAAGAAAGGCGAAGAGAAAGUUGUGAAAUUGACUUUUUAAAGACACUUAGAGAAAGAUGUUAGUGCAGCAAUAAACUGUUAGUGAAAUUGUCUUUUACAUAUGCAGAUGUCUUGGAACUAGUAGUUAUUUUUUGUCACAGACAUUAUAGUUAUACAUUGUCAGGUUCGUAGAAUGAUAGCAGGACCACUAUGAAUAUAUGCUGCCAUUGUUUCAAGACUGUAAGCCAUUGUUUUCUAUGGGGUCAUUCUUUCUCCUUUGAAAUGAUAAUUUGAAAGGAUAUUGUACAUUGUCAGGUUCAUUCUUUCUCCUUUUACAGAGGCAUGAGGCCAAGUACUUUUAUUCUGCUGGGUACAGAGGCAUGAGGCCAAGUAGUUUUAGCAUUAGCAUUGCUCUUGGGUCAUUUUUCUCUUUAUAUCGGACAGUACUCUGCUGGAUACAGAGGCUUCUCAGAUUGCUUGCAAGAGAUCUGCCUCAUGUUCAGGUUGCUCGCAGGGUUCUCACCGCUGCUUGAUUUGGCGUGCAGGGAUCUGCUCUUAUUCUGUGAACAAACCGGACAGUACUCUCUGAAGAAACGAACCAACAGAUGCAAAUUGGGAAGGGGGCAAUACAGUCAGAUUAUUAGGUGAGGAAAAGGAAAUAAUUAGAAAACAGGUUAGAAUACUAUUUUAGAGAGCAAUAACACUUAUAAAUACUAUUAUAGAGAAGGUUAUAUUUAGAGUACCAUAAGAAAGAAACAUGUUAAUAAGAGUACUAUAAUAGCAAAAAACUCUAGGGAGGAUUAAGAAACAUUCAGACAAUAGACAAUUUACCUAUUCUUCUGUACCGGCGGGGUUAACAUUUGGUAACACCGUAGCAGGCAUCCGCCGAUCCUCGGCUCCGAUCAAUGGCGUCCACCAACGCAAUCGAUUUCCAACUCACCCAGGCCCGGGCGCUGCUGUCCGAAUUCGACAACCGG